GAUCAUGGCUCAGGAUGAACGCUAGCUACAGGCUUAACACAUGCAAGUCGAGGGGCAGCAUUGGGGUAGCAAUACUCAGAUGGCGACCGGCGCACGGGUGAGUAACACGUAUCCAACCUGCCGCUUACUCGGGGAUAGCCUUUCGAAAGAAAGAUUAAUACCCGAUGGUAUAAAGAGUUCGCAUGUUCUCUUUAUUAAAGAAUUUCGGUAAGCGAUGGGGAUGCGUUCCAUUAGAUAGUUGGCGGGGUAACGGCCCACCAAGUCUACGAUGGAUAGGGGUUCUGAGAGGAAGGUCCCCCACAUUGGAACUGAGACACGGUCCAAACUCCUACGGGAGGCAGCAGUGAGGAAUAUUGGUCAAUGGACGAGAGUCUGAACCAGCCCAAGUAGCGUGAAGGAUGACUGCCCUAUGGGUUGUAAACUUCUUUUAUAAGGGAAUAAAGUGAGGGACGUGUCCCUUUUUGUAUGUACCUUAUGAAUAAGGAUCGGCUAACUCCGUGCCAGCCGCCGC
This 511-nucleotide ribosomal RNA is filed under the name uncultured bacterium. Its description in RNAcentral is "bacterial SSU rRNA". It matches the Rfam family "Bacterial small subunit ribosomal RNA", at positions 15 to 518 of the family's 1533-position model. The record is from RNAcentral.